CCUACGGGUUGCACCAGUGGGGAAUUUUGGACAAUGGGCGCAAGCCUGAUCCAGCCAUGCCGCGUGUCUGAAGAAGGCCUUCGGGUUGUAAAGGACUUUUGUCAGGGAAGAAAAGGAUAGGGUUAAUACCCCUGUCUGAUGACGGUACCUGAAGAAUAAGCACCGGCUAACUACGUGCCAGCAGCCGCGGUAAUACGUAGGGUGCGAGCGUUAAUCGGAAUUACUGGGCGUAAAGCGAGCGCAGACGGUUACUUAAGCAGGAUGUGAAAUCCCCGGGCUCAACCUGGGAACUGCGUUCUGAACUGGGUGACUAGAGUGUGUCAGAGGGAGGUAGAAUUCCACGUGUAGCAGCGAAAUGCGUAGAGAUGUGGAGGAAUACCGAUGGCGAAGGCAGCCUCCUGGGAUAACACUGACGUUCAUGCUCGAAAGCGUGGGUAGCAAACAGGAUUAGAUACCCUUGUAGUC
This 465-nucleotide ribosomal RNA is filed under the name uncultured bacterium. RNAcentral's name for it is "bacterial SSU rRNA". It matches the Rfam family "Bacterial small subunit ribosomal RNA", at positions 338 to 795 of the family's 1533-position model. The record is from RNAcentral.